GAUGAACGCUGGCGGCGUGCCUAAUACAUGCAAGUCGAGCGAACAGACGAGGAGCUUGCUCCUCUGACGUUAGCGGCGGACGGGUGAGUAACACGUGGAUAACCUACCUAUAAGACUGGGAUAACUUCGGGAAACCGGAGCUAAUACCGGAUAAUAUAUUUAACCGCAUGGUUCAAUAGUGAAAGACGGUUUUGCUGUCACUUAUAGAUGGAUCCGCGCCGCAUUAGCUAGUUGGUAAGGUAACGGCUUACCAAGGCAACGAUGCGUAGCCGACCUGAGAGGGUGAUCGGCCACACUGGAACUGAGACACGGUCCAGACUCCUACGGGAGGCAGCAGUAGGGAAUCUUCCGCAAAGGGCGAAAGCCUGACGGAGCAACGCCGCGUGAAUGAUGAAGGUCUUCGGAUCGUAAAACUCUGUUAUUAGGGAAGAACAAAUGUGUAAGUAACUAUGCACGUCUUGACGGUACCUAAUCAGAAAGCCACGGCUAACUACGUG
Molecule: ribosomal RNA, 497 nt
Filed under: uncultured bacterium
Lineage: Bacteria
Description: partial 16S ribosomal RNA
Rfam family: Bacterial small subunit ribosomal RNA
Source: RNAcentral